AUAGAGACCAACGAGUAAAUCUAUAUUCCAAUGAGGCUACCCCUGGAGUUGAGGUUCAUGACUAUGAGAAGGAAAGAUGGAUAUCUGGACAAAAUUAGGUUCUAUUAAAAAAAGAAAGAAGAGGCAAUGAACUUCAGGAAUGCAAACUUGACCUCGACUUUAAGGUCAAAGAAUUUUCAGACUGUGCAGUCAGCAGCGAAUUGAAAAAAAAAGUCAAUGUGAAACAUUAUAGAGAAGAAUAAGGGGAAGAGUGAUGCAGAAGUGCUGGGAAGUCAUGUAGGAAUUGGAAACAGCCAAGAUUCUACGGAAAGGUCUAUCACCCUGGUUGGAGUGCAGCAGUGUAAUUAUAGCUUACUGCUGCCAUGAACUUCUGGGCUCAAACGAUCCUCCCACCUCAGCCUCCCUAUGUGCUGGGAUUAAAAGUGUGAUCCACCACGCCUCAUCACAAUGGUCUUAAAAGACACCCUAUUUCAUGUAAGUGCUCAAUAAACUGUUACUUACUGUGACAAGAUACAA
RNAcentral lists this long non-coding RNA (516 nucleotides) under Papio anubis (olive baboon). Its description in RNAcentral is "lncRNA (ENSPANG00000047553.1)". The record is from RNAcentral. Lineage: Eukaryota; Metazoa; Chordata; Mammalia; Primates; Cercopithecidae.